UACGGAGGAUCCGAGCGUUAUCCGGAAUCAUUGGGUUUAAAGGGUCCGUAGGCGGGAUGAUCAGUCAGUGGUGAAAGUCUGCAGCUUAACUGUAGAAUUGCCGUUGAUACUGUUGUCCUUGAGUUAUUGUGAAGUGGUUGGAAUAUGUAGUGUAGCGGUGAAAUGCAUAGAUAUUACAUAGAACACCGAUUGCGAAGGCAGAUCACUAACAAUCAACUGACGCUGAUGGACGAAAGCGUAGGUAGCGAACAGG
This 253-nucleotide unclassified non-coding RNA is filed under the name uncultured Flavobacteriaceae bacterium. RNAcentral describes it as "contains 16S-23S intergenic spacer region". It matches the Rfam family "Bacterial small subunit ribosomal RNA", at positions 524 to 776 of the family's 1533-position model. The record is from RNAcentral. Lineage: Bacteria; Pseudomonadati; Bacteroidota; Flavobacteriia; Flavobacteriales; Flavobacteriaceae.